AGCGAACGCUGGCGGCAGGCUUAACACAUGCAAGUCGAACGGAACCCUUCGGGGUUAGUGGCGGACGGGUGAGUAACACGUGGGAAUGUGCCUUUAGGUUCGGAACAACACAGGGAAACUUGUGCUAAUACCGAAUGUGCCCUCGGGGAAGGAUUGUUGCCUUUAGAGCAGCCCGCGUCUGAUUAGCUUGUUGGUGAGGUAAAGGACUCACCAAGGCGACGA
This 222-nucleotide ribosomal RNA is filed under the name uncultured bacterium. Its description in RNAcentral is "partial 16S ribosomal RNA". It matches the Rfam family "Bacterial small subunit ribosomal RNA", at positions 29 to 279 of the family's 1533-position model. The record is from RNAcentral.